This 80-nucleotide ribosomal RNA is filed under the name uncultured eukaryote. RNAcentral describes it as "partial small subunit ribosomal RNA". The record is from RNAcentral.
GUGGAAUUCUCAGAUUUGCUAAAGACUGACUUAUGCCAAAGCAUUUGCCAAGGAUGUUUUCAUUAAUCAAGAACGAAAGU